AGCGAACGCUGGCGGCAGGCUUAACACAUGCAAGUCGAGCGGGCCCUUCGGGGUCAGCGGCGGACGGGUGAGUAACGCGUGGGAACGUGCCUUCUGGUCUGGAAUAACCCUGGGAAACUAGGGCUAAUACCGGAUACGCCCUUUUGGGGAAAGGUUUACUGCCGGAAGAUCGGCCGCGUCUGAUUAGCUAGUUGGUGGGGUAACGGCCUACCAAGGCGACGAUCAGUAGCUGGUCUGAGAGGAUGAUCAGCCACACUGGGACUGAGACACGGCCCAGACUCCUACGGGAGGCAGCAGUGGGGAAUAUUGGACAAUGGGCGCAAGCCUGAUCCAGCCAUGCCGCGUGAGUGAUGAAGGCCUUAGGGUUGUAAAGCUCUUUUAUCCGGGACGAUAAUGACGGUACCGGAGGAAUAAGCCCCGGCUAACUUCGUG
This 432-nucleotide ribosomal RNA is filed under the name uncultured bacterium. Its description in RNAcentral is "partial 16S ribosomal RNA". It matches the Rfam family "Bacterial small subunit ribosomal RNA", at positions 29 to 507 of the family's 1533-position model. The record is from RNAcentral.